Molecule: unclassified non-coding RNA, 147 nt
Filed under: uncultured Ascomycota
Lineage: Eukaryota; Fungi; Ascomycota
Also listed under: 1 other name
Description: sequence contains ITS2
Source: RNAcentral
CAACCCUCAAGCUCUGCUUGGUAUUGGGCUUGGCCGUCGUGGCCGGCCCUAAAAUCAGUGGCGGUGCCGUCUUGGCUCCAAGCGUAGUACAUUUCUCGCUCCGGAGGCCUGGUGGUAUCUUGCCAGACAACCCCAAUUAUCUUCUAU